AUUUAAAUCAAAUAAAAAAUAAUAUGAACAACAAUUCUUUUUUAAUAAGUAAACAUAUGAUUAAAAAAAAUGACAAUAAAAUAUAAAAAAUAUAAAUAAAUACUUAAAAUUCUAACAUCAAUUGAUAAUAUUUAAUCCUAAUUUGAAUAACAAACAAUGUUGUUCUUCCGUAUAUGGACCUACAAAUAAAGAAUUAUAACUCAAAAUUAGUACAAUUUCUGAUUGUAGAAUUAAACUUGAAUAUUUUAUCCACUCCUCUGUUCCCAAUCCACAUGUUAUUUAUCCCUCAUAGUCAUCUUCAUCAGUCUCUGCAAAAAUCCAAAUAGUAAAUAAAAGUUACAAAGAUAAAUGAAUAAUAUUUUGGCUUCUUAAAAAGAAGUUUACAAUUUCUACCAAAAAAANNNNNNNNNNAACAAAAUACCUGCAAAGAAAAACAAAUAAAAUUUAGAUUUCAUUCCACUUGAGAGCAACAAAAAUUAUAUUGAACAAAUAAAUAAGAAAUAACCAACAAUAGCAAUAGAUUUUUUAUUUUUUUUUUAAAAAAAAAACCAACAAUAGAAAUAGAUAGUAUAUAUAGAAACUAUAGUAGAUUUUUG
This 596-nucleotide long non-coding RNA is filed under the name Trifolium pratense (red clover). RNAcentral's name for it is "long non-coding RNA (TPRA_LNC014155)". Lineage: Eukaryota; Viridiplantae; Streptophyta; Magnoliopsida; Fabales; Fabaceae. The record is from RNAcentral.